Molecule: long non-coding RNA, 391 nt
Filed under: Trifolium pratense (red clover)
Lineage: Eukaryota; Viridiplantae; Streptophyta; Magnoliopsida; Fabales; Fabaceae
Description: long non-coding RNA (TPRA_LNC002768)
Source: RNAcentral
AAUAACUAAUUAAUUCCUCAAGCUGCACAUUCAAAUUAUCAUUAAUUCACAGUGAUUCAUGAGGUAACCAAUAAUCAGAAGAACAAGUGCAAAAUAAAUAUCAUAAACAUAAAUUAACCAUAUGGGUUUUAUUUAAAUCUAAUGCUCAAGUGACAUAGCACCACAUCUACAUCCUGGUGUUAAAAACACAAGGUGAUAUCAAGCUCUCAAUGCAGACUUCUGGAGUGUUUUCGAACUCAAUAAACUUUGAAGUGUUAUUUUUAUGAUUGUAAGAAAUAUACUCCCAUCCCUUAUCCCCUUUAUACGUCAGCAGCAGUACUUGUUCAUCCUCAAAAACACAUAUUCCCAGAAUAUUGGGAUAACAUAAUGUAGAAGGAGGUUUUGAUUUGGG